GCACUACUGAGGAGUUCCAUAAUAGGGCGAAACAGCCUUCCAGUGC
Schistosoma mattheei is the source of this 46-nucleotide non-coding RNA. The record is from Rfam. NCBI's taxonomy places the organism in Eukaryota, Metazoa, Platyhelminthes, Trematoda, Strigeidida, Schistosomatidae.